RNAcentral lists this ribosomal RNA (561 nucleotides) under Arthrobacter sp. RNAcentral's name for it is "bacterial SSU rRNA". It matches the Rfam family "Bacterial small subunit ribosomal RNA", at positions 348 to 920 of the family's 1533-position model. The record is from RNAcentral. Lineage: Bacteria; Bacillati; Actinomycetota; Actinomycetes; Micrococcales; Micrococcaceae.
GCAGCAGUGGGGAUAUUGCACAAUGGGCGCAAGCCUGAUGCAGCGACGCCGCGUGAGGGAUGACGGCCUUCGGGUUGUAAACCUCUUUCAGUAGGGAAGAAGCGAAAGUGACGGUACCUGCAGAAGAAGCGCCGGCUAACUACGUGCCAGCAGCCGCGGUAAUACGUAGGGCGCAAGCGUUAUCCGGAAUUAUUGGGCGUAAAGAGCUCGUAGGCGGUUUGUCGCGUCUGCCGUGAAAGUCCGGGGCUCAACUCCGGAUCUGCGGUGGGUACGGGCAGACUAGAGUGAUGUAGGGGAGACUGGAAUUCCUGGUGUAGCGGUGAAAUGCGCAGAUAUCAGGAGGAACACCGAUGGCGAAGGCAGGUCUCUGGGCAUUAACUGACGCUGAGGAGCGAAAGCAUGGGGAGCGAACAGGAUUAGAUACCCUGGUAGUCCAUGCCGUAAACGUUGGGCACUAGGUGUGGGGGACAUUCCACGUUUUCCGCGCCGUAGCUAACGCAUUAAGUGCCCCGCCUGGGGAGUACGGCCGCAAGGCUAAAACUCAAAGGAAUUGACGGGGCC